GUUCAAAUCUUGCUUUUCGCUCUAGGUCCAACGAUGGCUAAAGUUGGGAAUGAUUUCCGGGAGAUCCCUUAGCAGCCCAGCCCUAAAAAGGGACAAGACUGUAACUCUAAGACCCUUCAAUCAUUCCUUCUCUUCGACAACCAAAAUGCCCACGAAAUUCUUCAGGAUCGAAAUCAAUUCACACAAAAUCACGCCAUUACUGACUCAUUGAAUUCGCGAAAGACGACAGAUUUGAAACUUUUGUUUCUGAGCACAAACGCAGAACGAUGCAUUUGCGCAGGAGAUCGCGCGAGAGCAUGUCACUACGUUUAAGUUUGAGUCAAAUAUGGGUUUAUUUUCGAAUCGAUUCUUGUCGAUCAUUUAUUAUCAGUGGAUGUUAUGGAUGUUGGAGUCUCCAAAAUUUCUUUUACCUAUUUGUAUAAUUGGAAUCACUCAUUAGGCAGGUUUGGUCUUUAUUUAUCUUUGUGUAUAUUGAAAUUGGAUUGUCUGUGGUUUGUGAGUAUCGUAAUUUUGAAUUUUUUGUACGUUUUCUCAACAUAAUCAAUUCUUUUUGAUUGUUUGUCUGAGGUUUACCGAAAAGUUAUGUGAAGAAGCUAUACCGGUUAGUAUGCACACAAGUCCUAGAGCAUCCAGACAAUUGAUAAUCUUCCUGUUCAUUGUUCCAACUUUACUUUCGGCAAUCCUUCAAUAUUACUUUUGCAAGCAUGAGCAUCUUUCCAGUCAGGUAGGCGAUAAACAAACUAAACCUAACUUUUUCAACAAUAAGUCAUAGAAAAUUGACGUUUCAUAGCUGUCAGUGCAUGAGCAUCAGAAAAAGUGUUGCCAUAUUUCCGAAAUACUCCUGAUACUUUCGAAAUUGCAAGGUUUAUAACUCAAAAUGUUAAGGCUGCUUUAAAGGCUCAGUCAUUGUGGUAGUAGUUCGUUCAAAGGUCCCAGGGAUGAAUGAAUACAAAUUAUUUCAUGAAUUUUUUUAUUACGUCCCAAGAAAAAAAUUCUUCAUCGAAUUAUUGUUACAUAGUUUUCAUUACAAUCAUCGAAUUAAUAAAUUUAUCUUUUUUGUAAAUAGAUACAAUAAUAUACGUAACUACGAUGAAAAUAACCUCCAAAUACAUCAAUAAAAUAAUCAAUCGUAAAUAA
Coccinella septempunctata (seven-spotted ladybird) is the source of this 1137-nucleotide long non-coding RNA. RefSeq lists it as uncharacterized. The record is from RefSeq and is a predicted model, not a curated record. NCBI's taxonomy places the organism in Eukaryota, Metazoa, Arthropoda, Insecta, Coleoptera, Coccinellidae. The transcript is spliced from 2 exons.